CCUACGGGGGGCAUCAGUCGAGAAUCAUUCACAAUGGGGGAAACCCUGAUGGUGCGACGCCGCGUGGGGGAAUGAAGGUCUUCGGAUUGUAAACCCCUGUCAUGUGGGAGCAAAUUAAAAAGAUAGUACCACACGAGGAAGAGACGGCUAACUCUGUGCCAGCAGCCGCGGUAAUACAGAGGUCUCAAGCGUUGUUCGGAAUCACUGGGCGUAAAGCGUGCGUAGGCUGUUUCGUAAGUCGUGUGUGAAAGGCGCGGGCUCAACCCGCGGACGGCACAUGAUACUGCGAGACUAGAGUAAUGGAGGGGGAACCGGAAUUCUCGGGGUAGCAGUGAAAUGCGUAGAUAUCGAGAGGAACACUCGUGGCGAAGGCGGGUUCCUGGACAUUAACUGACGCUGAGGCACGAAGGCCAGGGGAGCGAAAGGGAUUAGAUACCCGGGUAGUC
This 446-nucleotide ribosomal RNA is filed under the name uncultured bacterium. RNAcentral describes it as "partial 16S ribosomal RNA". It matches the Rfam family "Bacterial small subunit ribosomal RNA", at positions 338 to 795 of the family's 1533-position model. The record is from RNAcentral.